Molecule: non-coding RNA, 121 nt
Organism: Picea glauca (white spruce)
Lineage: Eukaryota; Viridiplantae; Streptophyta; Pinopsida; Pinales; Pinaceae
Source: Rfam
ACAUGCCUACAACAUAGUAUUAAUGCAAUAGAUUCCAUUAGAACUCUGCAGUGAAGCGCACUCAUGCUAGAGUAGUAUUGGGAUGGGUGACUGCCCAGGAAGUCCUAAUGUUUUACAUGCC